AAAAAAUCCCUGCUCCUCCGCCUUCCCCUCCGUCCGUGCUCCGCCGCCGCACCCGCCGCCGCCGCUGUCGGAUCCGGCGAAGGUGAGCUCGCCGUGUCGGUCUGGAGGAAGCCCCGCCACUUCUCAGAGCCAGAUUUGGUAUGGUGGGUCGCUUGGUUCCCCUAUCAACUUGGAUGGGCAGACUCCUCCAGCCAGCUCCACGUAAGAACUGAAUCCCCUGCAGAAGCUCUUGAAGGGAAUGGUGGCCAAAUGGUGUUGAUUCAUAUCUGUUGAUAUGGUGUAUUCUGUUAUGUGAUCCUGACCUGAUUGGAACACGACCCGUGGAAGCUGAAAAUCAAGCAGUACAAUAUUGGAGCUGAAGAUCAAGCAGUACAUUAUUGGACGUUCCGAAGAGAACAUGGAAAGUUGUUUCUCCGUUGCCAUGAGGAUUCACUUUUAUUCUUAGCAUAUUACCUUGAUGGUUAGCUGAUUGUAGAAGUUCAUUUUUCUUUCUAAAAAGGAGAUGGCCCAAUUUCACUUGAAGCUAGAAUUGGGACAUUUCAAGUAGUACAUGUGUAAUUGAUAUGCCCCAUCUAAAUUGUGAAAAUGUAUCGAGCUCACAUUCAAGGAGCAGUGGGCUGUUAUCUACCAGAUAAGAUCUUGUCAAACAAAUGUACUAGUCAGUGCAAUGUCAUUUGGUGACUGAAAUUUA
Long non-coding RNA from Panicum virgatum (switchgrass), 691 nucleotides. RefSeq lists it as uncharacterized. The transcript is spliced from 4 exons. The record is from RefSeq and is a predicted model, not a curated record. NCBI's taxonomy places the organism in Eukaryota, Viridiplantae, Streptophyta, Magnoliopsida, Poales, Poaceae.